GACGAACGCUGGCGGCGUGCCUAAUACAUGCAAGUAGAACGCUGAAGGAGGAGCUUGCUCUUCUGGAUGAGUUGCGAACGGGUGAGUAACGCGUAGGUAACCUGCCUGGUAGCGGGGGAUAACUAUUGGAAACGAUAGCUAAUACCGCAUAAGAGUAGAUGUUGCAUGACAUUUGCUUAAAAGGUGCAAUUGCAUCACUACCAGAUGGACCUGCGUUGUAUUAGCUAGUUGGUGGGGUAACGGCUCACCAAGGCGACGAUACAUAGCCGACCUGAGAGGGUGAUCGGCCACACUGGGACUGAGACACGGCCCAGACUCCUACGGGAGGCAGCAGUAGGGAAUCUUCGGCAAUGGACGGAAGUCUGACCGAGCAACGCCGCGUGAGGGAAGAAGGUUUUCGGAUCGUAAAGCUCUGUUGUAAGAGAAGAACGAGUGUGAGAGUGGAAAGUUCACACUGUGACGGUAUCUUACCAGAAAGGGACGGCUAACUACGUG
Molecule: ribosomal RNA, 495 nt
Filed under: uncultured bacterium
Lineage: Bacteria
Description: partial 16S ribosomal RNA
Rfam family: Bacterial small subunit ribosomal RNA
Source: RNAcentral